RNAcentral lists this ribosomal RNA (403 nucleotides) under Verrucomicrobiota bacterium. RNAcentral's name for it is "Verrucomicrobia bacterium partial 16S ribosomal RNA". It matches the Rfam family "Bacterial small subunit ribosomal RNA", at positions 355 to 776 of the family's 1533-position model. The record is from RNAcentral. Lineage: Bacteria; Pseudomonadati; Verrucomicrobiota.
UGGGGAAUAUUGCACAAUGGGCGCAAGCCCGAUGCAGCAACGCCGCGUGAACGAUGAAGGUCUUCGGAUCGUAAAGUUCUGUUGCAGGGGAAGAUAAUGACGGUUGCCUGUGAGGAAGCCCCGGCUAACUACGUGCCAGCAGCCGCGGUAAUACGUAGGGGGCUAGCGUUAUCCGGAUUUACUGGGCGUAAAGGGUGCGUAGGUGGUCCUUCAAGUCGGUGGUUAAAGGCUACGGCUCAACCGUAGUAAGCCGCCGAAACUGGAGGACUUGAGUGCAGGAGAGGAAAGUGGAAUUCCCAGUGUAGCGGUGAAAUGCGUAGAUAUUGGGGGGAACACCAGUAGCGAAGGCGGCUUUCUGGACUGCAACUGACACUGAGGCACGAAAGCGUGGGUAGCAAACAGG